This 292-nucleotide ribosomal RNA is filed under the name uncultured bacterium. RNAcentral's name for it is "partial 16S ribosomal RNA". It matches the Rfam family "Bacterial small subunit ribosomal RNA", at positions 505 to 796 of the family's 1533-position model. The record is from RNAcentral.
GUGUCAGCAGCCGCGGUAAGACGAAGGGGGCUAGCGUUGUUCGGAAUUACUGGGCGUAAAGCGCGUGUAGGCGGUUGCCAAAGUCGGGUGUGAAAGCCUUGAGCUCAACUCAAGAAAUGCACUCGAUACUUGGUGACUAGAGGACCGGAGAGGAUAGUGGAAUUCCCAGUGUAGUGGUGAAAUACGUAGAGAUUGGGAAGAACACCAGUGGCGAAGGCGGCUAUCUGGACGGUUUCUGACGCUAAGACGCGAAAGCGUGGGGAGCAAACAGGAUUAGAAACCCUAGUAGUCC